RNAcentral lists this long non-coding RNA (378 nucleotides) under Lathyrus oleraceus (garden pea). Its description in RNAcentral is "Pisum sativum (pea) long non-coding RNA (PSAT_LNC022589)". The record is from RNAcentral. Lineage: Eukaryota; Viridiplantae; Streptophyta; Magnoliopsida; Fabales; Fabaceae.
CAAUGCAUUCAGAAGUUUAAAUUAGAAGGUAAACAAAAAAUCUUGUCGGAGCGUUGAAACUCCGGCCAGAUCUCGGCGACCAAUAUUACCUCAGGUACGUGUUCUCCUCUGGCCAUAUGGUAAUUCCUUUUUGCUUCUUUUUCGAGUUCUCUUCCCUUUCUUCUCAAACCUCUCGCGCUCCUCGCCUUUUCUCUUUCUUCUCUUCUUUCCAUCGUUGUUAUCACCGUGGUAACCGUUUUGGAUAAACUGUGGCUUUAGCUCAAGUUUGUUGAGUUUCAACAUGAAAUCUCAACAAACUUCAAAAAGGAAGAGUCGAGCUUUUAGUAAGGUUCUUUGGUUUUAUUUCUGCAGAGUAACAGUGCUCAUUUUUCAGGGUCU